UACGUAGGGCGCAAGCGUUAUCCGGAAUUAUUGGGCGUAGAGAGCUCGUAGGCGGUUUGUCGCGUCUGCCGUGAAAGUCCGGGGCUCAACUCCGGAUCUGCGGUGGGUACGGGCAGACUAGAGUGAUGUAGGGGAGACUGGAAUUCCUGGUGUAGCGGUGAAAUGCGCAGAUAUCAGGAGGAACACCGAUGGCGAAGGCAGGUCUCUGGGCAUUAACUGACGCUGAGGAGCGAAAGCAUGGGGAGCGAACAGGA
RNAcentral lists this ribosomal RNA (254 nucleotides) under uncultured bacterium. RNAcentral describes it as "partial 16S ribosomal RNA". It matches the Rfam family "Bacterial small subunit ribosomal RNA", at positions 524 to 777 of the family's 1533-position model. The record is from RNAcentral.